Molecule: ribosomal RNA, 684 nt
Filed under: Triticum aestivum (bread wheat)
Lineage: Eukaryota; Viridiplantae; Streptophyta; Magnoliopsida; Poales; Poaceae
Description: partial small subunit ribosomal RNA
Source: RNAcentral
CGUCGACCUCCCCAAGUGCCGCGAGCGCGGGACGUCCUCACGGACGACGUCGCCGACCUCGCCGUCGGCCUCGCCAUCGCCGCGCUACGGAGGAUCCCGCAGGCCGACCGCUUCGUGCGCACCGGCCUGUGGAAGGCCAAGGGAGACUACGCACUCACCACGCGAUUCAGUGGCAAAACAGUGGGCAUUAUUGGGCUGGGCAGGAUAGGGCUUGCUAUUGCCACUCGAGUGGAGGCCUUUGAUUGCCCAGUCAACUACUACCAGAGAACAAAGAAGGACUACCCCAAUUACACCUAUUACCCUUCUGUACUUGAAUUGGCAGCAAACAGCGACGUCCUCGUGGUGGCUUGCCCAUUGAGUGAACAGACCCGCCACAUUGUCAACCGUGAGGUGAUGGAGGCACUCGGACCCAAGGGCGUGCUCAUAAACAUCGGGCGCGGCCCUCAUGUUGACGAGCCUGAGCUUGUCUCUGCGCUCGUUGAGGGGCGCCUUGGUGGGGCAGGCCUCGACGUGUUUGAGGAUGAGCCCGAUGUGCCUGAGUCGCUCUUCACGCUUGACAAUGUUGUCCUGGCACCACACAUGGGGAGCGGGACACACGAGACGCGCAAGGCGAUGGCUGACCUGGUUCUCGGUAACCUGGAGGCGCAUGUUCUAAAGAAACCGCUGUUGAGUCCUGUUAUCUGA